Molecule: ribosomal RNA, 468 nt
Filed under: uncultured bacterium
Lineage: Bacteria
Description: partial 16S ribosomal RNA
Rfam family: Bacterial small subunit ribosomal RNA
Source: RNAcentral
GACGAACGCUGGCGGCGUGCCUAACACAUGCAAGUCGAACGGAAAGGCGCUGCUUUUGCGGGGUGCUCGAGUGGCGAACGGGUGAGUAACACGUGAGUAACCUGCCCUUGUAUUUGGGAUAACUUCAGGAAAAUGGGGAUAAUACAGGAUAGGAGAUCUUGAUGCAUGGUGGGGGUUGGAAAGUUUCGGCGGUUGGGGAUCGACGCGCGGCUUAUGAGCUGGUUGGUGGAGUAGUGGCUUACCAAGGCUUUGACGGGUAGCCGGCCUGGGAGGGUGACCGGCCACAUUGGUACUGAGAGACGGACCAGACGCGUACGGUCGGCAGCAGUGGAGAAUAUGGCGCAGUGAGCCGAAGCCUGAUGCAGCGGCGCCGCGUUCGUGAUGACGGCCUUCGGGUUAUAAACCGCUUUCGCCUGUGACGUAGCGGGAGUGACGGUAAUGAAUAAAGAAGCACCGGCUAACUACGUG